GCAUUUUGCAUCUUUCUGCAGCCAGGGAGCUGCUUAGAGGCUACAAGCCCUUCGUGACUGCUGCAUCAUGGGUGAGGGCAAUGGUGUAGAAUGACUCACCGAGAGGAAGGAGGAGGAUGUGCUGAGAUCUGGUUAUAGGUCUCUUGGAUUAAUGCCUCAGAGGAAAACUAUUGAGUAACAGGGGAGCUCAUUUAGGGUAACUCUGGGACUCUUGCUCUCCAUUACUCAACCUUCCCUCAGGGAUGAUGGAGCAUCUUGACUAAUAGUCUAGAAUUUUGGCUCCGGAGUCAAACCAAUCUGGAUUUUCACUCUAGGCUUUCUGUUGUCACUUAGUCACUAAUUGCUGCAUGACUUGGGUUUCUGCAUGACCUCCCUGAGCCACUUGCUUUUUCAUCCAUAUGACUGGAAAUCUGCCCACCACACAGGGUUGCCAAUAAAGAAACUUAAGAAGACAUAAUAUAUAACUGCCAAUAUCAUCAAGGAAGAGGAUGAUCUCUAAGGACAUACAAAGAGGCAAAUGCAACCUAGAGGAGGAUUGAUAGAAGACUGAAGUCUCCACUGCAUUUGGCAGUCAAAAGGGUUGAGAAAACCAACCUAAGAAGAAAAGUGAUGAAUUGAUGAUAUUUUGCCCAGAGCUGUUGAGCACUUCUGGAGAAGAGGAACAUGGAGAAGACAUUUGUUGAGUCCCUAUUACAUGCCAGGCAAUUCCCAUACACAAUUUACUUUAUCUUCACAACCACCCUGUGAUGGCUGUGGAUUUCCCAUUUCCCAUCAGUCCAAAGCUAUGAGCGCAGAUGAAAGGCAACAUGGAUCUGUGAACUACUGCUCUCCCUUUAGAGGAACUGACUUUCAGCUUUCAGCCACAUGCAUGAAAAAGGCUGUUUCCAUCUGUCGACCUGUCAGGCUGCCUCCCUCUUAGGCUUCUUUCCUCCCUCCUUGGAGUUUCUUCAAUAAAACAUUUCACUCCCUGGAAAAGCAACUCCCCUGAGUGGUGUGGUGGGAAGGCCCAAUAUAGUUCCAUUCAACUCUCUGGGGAUGAGGUAGAGAUAGCCUCCCUUCACAUAACUUUCUCAGCAAGUGGUAUUUCUGUUUCCUCUCCCUUCCAACAAACUACCCCCAAAUAAGUCCUGGUUAUUCUCCCAAGGCAUGAGUUCCAUUCUCCCCCAAUUUCUGUGGAGAACCAGCUCUCCCUCCUCUGCCUUCAGUGGGACUCUCCUUUGCAAGCCAAAUGAUGUAUAGCGAUUGA
Molecule: long non-coding RNA, 1246 nt
Organism: Tupaia belangeri chinensis (Chinese tree shrew)
Lineage: Eukaryota; Metazoa; Chordata; Mammalia; Scandentia; Tupaiidae
Exons: 7
Source: RefSeq, a predicted model, not a curated record